Anas platyrhynchos (mallard) is the source of this 1032-nucleotide non-coding RNA. NCBI's taxonomy places the organism in Eukaryota, Metazoa, Chordata, Aves, Anseriformes, Anatidae. The record is from RefSeq and is a predicted model, not a curated record.
UGCCGUAGGACUUCCCUCCGGGGGUCACUUUUUCUUGUGCCUUGUGUUCUGUGUUGUGUUUGUAACGUUUGUAGAGUGCCUGUGUGUGUAUGUGUUUGGUCUGGAGCUGUCCUGCCUGGCAGUGAGUGAUGACAGCUAAGGUGGCAGUCCAUCCUAAUACAUUAUCCGGACUGUUUUGGCAAAGACAUCUGGUGUUCCUCUGGGCGCGUACUGAAGGGCAGCUGGCACAGUCAUCUCUGUGGUGUUUGCAGAUGUGGAGGGUGGGAGAGCUGAGCUGCUUGUGAGCAGCUGUUUGCAUAGUGCUUGAACUGGUGUGCUGGAGGAGGUUUGUUGAAUCUUGAAAGCUUACAGAUACGGGGUUUUGAAACUUUUAUUUAUUUCCCCUCCCCUGUAGAGUACAAACGUUAGGAGGAACCAGUCACAGGAAGGAGCUCCUGGGACUGUCCAGCACUCGCUGAAACACGGUGUACAACAUGGGACAUCACACCCAGAGCUGCCUCUGGCAAGAGGUGUUGUAGCUGGCAUAAGAGCAGAUGGAAGCAUCUGCCUCGAGGGCAGGUGAGGGGGCAGAGGUGUUUCACACAGGCUCAGAGGAGCCAAGCUGCACUCUGAAGAGCAGCACGAGAAGGGCGGGGUGGUUGUGAGCUGGGUUGGAGCAGAACGGCCAAGUAGCACAAGGUGACUCUGAAAGGUGUCUGUCUCGCUUUGCGGGUGCUGUGGCAGGCUCCCCACAGAACUGGCUGAGGAUUUGAGAUAAGGCCAGAGAGCGACAAGGAGCAGCACGUGCAGGGAUGGUUUCCAAGCGCAUGCAGGUGGCUUUCUCUUCUGUUCAUCAGGUGCCACAGGCAAGGUGAAGAGGCGCCUGAAGCCCCAUCCUAUCCAGCCUGCGCACACUUAUCUGAGAAUGACAGCUGCUUUCCAGUAAUUCAGAAAGCCACGUUACGUCUCAGCCUUGAGCAUCUGGGGCUUGUGCCUGGGCUUUUGGGUCUGUCUGUAACAUUUGGCACCAGCGCUAAUACUUUUUUUGGUGUA